GAGUUUGAUCGUGGCUCAGGAUGAACGCUGGCGGCGUGCCUAAUACAUGCAAGUCGUACGAACAGCGGAAAGUGCUUGCACUUUCCAAGUAAGUGGCGAACGGGUGAGUAACACGUGAAUAACCUACCUCAAAGUCUGGGGAUAACCAUUGGAAACAGUGACUAAUACCGGAUAAAACCUAGUAGCACAUGCUACAAGGUUAAAAGCUGCGUUUGCAGCGCUUUAAGAUGGAUUCGCGGUGCAUUAGUAG
This 250-nucleotide ribosomal RNA is filed under the name uncultured microorganism. RNAcentral describes it as "partial 16S ribosomal RNA". It matches the Rfam family "Bacterial small subunit ribosomal RNA", at positions 9 to 247 of the family's 1533-position model. The record is from RNAcentral.